UAGGGAAUCUUCCGCAAUGGACGCAAGUCUGACGGAGCAACGCCGCGUGAGUGAAGAAGGAUUUCGGUUCGUAAAACUCUGUUGUUAGAGAAGAACAGCGCAUAGAGUAACUGUUAUGCGUGUGACGGUAUCUAACCAGAAAGCCACGGCUAACUACGUGCCAGCAGCCGCGGUAAUACGUAGGUCCCGAGCGUUGUCCGGAUUUAUUGGGCGUAAAGCGAGCGCAGGCGGUUAGAAAAGUCUGAAGUGAAAGGCAGUGGCUCAACCAUUGUAGGCUUUGGAAACUGUUUAACUUGAGUGCAGAAGGGGAGAGUGGAAUUCCAUGUGUAGCGGUGAAAUGCGUAGAUAUAUGGAGGAACACCGGUGGCGAAAGCGUCUCUCUGGUCUGUAACUGACGCUGAGGCUCGAAAGCGUGGGGAGCGAACAGG
This 428-nucleotide ribosomal RNA is filed under the name Bacteroidota bacterium. Its description in RNAcentral is "Bacteroidetes bacterium partial 16S ribosomal RNA". It matches the Rfam family "Bacterial small subunit ribosomal RNA", at positions 355 to 776 of the family's 1533-position model. The record is from RNAcentral. Lineage: Bacteria; Pseudomonadati; Bacteroidota.